Molecule: long non-coding RNA, 647 nt
Organism: Gasterosteus aculeatus aculeatus (three-spined stickleback)
Lineage: Eukaryota; Metazoa; Chordata; Actinopteri; Perciformes; Gasterosteidae
Source: Ensembl
GCUUGUUUUCUUGUGCUGUGCGGCAGAGCAGAUGGGAGGCCUAUCAGAAGCAUUCCGUGGGGACGUUCUUUUUAAUGCUUGCCACAACCCUGGAGGAGUUCCUGAGAGCCGUCCUGCACAGCGCAGCACGUCACGGCCUUCCAUGCAGUAUUUCAUGUCCCCGUCUGCCCCCUGCAGGCCCUGCUGCUGUGAUUUAGAGCCAGAUGAGAGAGGAGGACGCAGGAGGCCCUGGAUGAAGGAAUGCUUCCACCCUUCCUGAUGUUAACUGCCCCACUGGGAGGAACACCAGCAGGGACCUCUAAGGAUGCGACACUGCAGAGCUUUCACUCAAAACCCCCACGUCAGGUCAUACUUUUUAGAGGUGCUCUAAAUCAGUGGCGCACAACCUCCGAGUCAUUCGUGUGCAAAAUAUAAAAAAUGUUUUGAAUUUGGAAAAAUGGCGGCAUCCUCUCCCAAUUACAUGUGCUUGGUCCUGUUUUUGGUCUGACGCUUUACUGCUUGGUUGUACAAUGUUUUCAUUAUAAUCCUACAAACAACGUAACAGCUUUUGCCUGGUCAGCGUCAGCCAGAACUAUUGCUGUUUGCUUGGGGGUUCAAAUACUUAUUUUCUGCAUCAAAUGCAAAUAAAGUCAGAAAUGUUAUAAAAU